UUAAUAUAAAGUGGCAAACGGGUGAGUAAUAUAUCAGAACAUGCCUUUAAGUGGGGGAUAACUAAUUGAAAAAUUAGAUAAUACCGCAUAUUAAAUCUUAGGAUGAAAAUAGGAAUUUUCUUAUGCUUUUAGAUUGGCUGAUAUCUGAUUAGCUAGUUGGUAAGGUAAAAGCUUACCAAGGCUAUGAUCAGUAGCUGGUUUUAGAGAAUGAUCAGCCACACUGGAACUGAGACACGGUCCAG
RNAcentral lists this ribosomal RNA (242 nucleotides) under uncultured bacterium. RNAcentral describes it as "partial 16S ribosomal RNA". It matches the Rfam family "Bacterial small subunit ribosomal RNA", at positions 85 to 334 of the family's 1533-position model. The record is from RNAcentral.